RNAcentral lists this ribosomal RNA (331 nucleotides) under uncultured eukaryote. RNAcentral's name for it is "partial 18S ribosomal RNA". It matches the Rfam family "Eukaryotic small subunit ribosomal RNA", at positions 1470 to 1796 of the family's 1831-position model. The record is from RNAcentral.
CCCUUAGAUGUUCUGGGCCGCACGCGCGCUACACUGACGAAGUCAGCGAGCAUCUCCUUCGCCGAAAGGUGCGGGGAAUCUUGUGAAACUUUGUCGUGCUGGGGAUUGAUUUUUGAAAUUCUUGAUCAUCAACGAGGAAUUCCUAGUAAGCGCAAGUCAUCAACUUGCGUUGAUUACGUCCCUGCCCUUUGUACACACCGCCCGUCGCUACUGCCAACUGAGAUGGGUCCUGAAUUGUUAGGAACGCCCGUCAAGGGGCCUACCCGAUCCCUAGUGCGGUGACGAGAAUAACUGUAAAUGGCAUAUCUUGUAGGGAGUAAAAGUCGUAACA